Molecule: ribosomal RNA, 460 nt
Filed under: uncultured bacterium
Lineage: Bacteria
Description: partial 16S ribosomal RNA
Rfam family: Bacterial small subunit ribosomal RNA
Source: RNAcentral
CCUACGGGAGGCAGCAGUGAGGAAUAUUGGUCAAUGGACGAGAGUCUGAACCAGCCAAGUAGCGUGAAGGAUGACUGCCCUAUGGGUUGUAAACUUCUUUUAUAAAGGAAUAAAACGAGGCACGUGUGCCUUUUUGCAUGUACUUUAUGAAUAAGGAACGGCUAACUCCGUGCCAGCAGCCGCGGUAAUACGGAGGAUCCGAGCGUUAUCCGGAUUUAUUGGGUUUAAAGGGAGCGUAGAUGGGUUGUUAAGUCAGUUGUGAAAGUUUGCGGCUCAACCGUAAAAUUGCAAUUGAUACUGGCAGUCUUGAGUAUAGUUGAGGUAGGCGGAAUUCGUGGUGUAGCGGUGAAAUGCUUAGAUAUCACGAAGAACCCCGAUUGCGAAGGCAGCUUACUAAACUGUGACUGACAUUGAUGCUCGAAAGUGUGGGUAGCAAACAGGAUUAGAUACCCUUGUAGUC